This is a long non-coding RNA of Passer domesticus (house sparrow), 972 nucleotides long. RefSeq lists it as uncharacterized. Lineage: Eukaryota; Metazoa; Chordata; Aves; Passeriformes; Passeridae. The record is from RefSeq and is a predicted model, not a curated record. The transcript is spliced from 2 exons.
CUCUGCAAAUAAAUCACACCCAGGUGUGCAGGACAGACAGCAAGGCCUGAAUCCCACAGGUCCCAGCCUAGCAUCAGCAGUAGGAGCUUUGAGUGGGGGAUCCUCACAGCACCAACAGCAGAUGUGAGCCAGGGGAUGAGCACAGGAUUUAAAUUCCUUCUCCCACAGUGACUUCCCUCUGGCUCUUGCCCGUGCCAAGAUGUGAUGGGCAAACAAGAACUGUGUUUGGAGUGCUGCAGAGCUCUCAGCAUGACCAAGGUACCCUCCCUGUCAGCUGCAGGCACAUUAAAUGCUGAACUGUGAAAAUGCAAUUUUGGCUGCAGUGUGGGGAUGAAUGUAAAGAAAAAUAUAAAUCCACGUGGACUGCACCCUCAGGGCUCUGAUGGGACUCAAAACCACCCUCAAUGGGGCAGGAAAAACUGACAGUACUGAUAGGAGAACUGUUAAAAAAAUCUUGGUGUGUGAGGCCAGUAGCUCUGCUGACUGCUUUUUGGGUGAAAGCCAUUUACUAACUGGACAUCCUUCCCAAUAUGGGAAUCUCCUGAAAGACCCACUGUGAUUUCAAAGGAGUCCUAACAGAGCAGCAGCUCAAUGUUUGCAUUCCCUCUGCACCACACAAACAUCCCAGAGCAAAGAAAUCCAAGGACAAGCUGGGUUGUGGGCAUCACCCAGGAGUCCCCCUCCAGCCCAAAUCCUCAGCACUGAGUCUGAUCUCCAAGAGAGGGCUCUCGCAGGCUCGGCAUGCAUCCUACAUCAAGUGCUAAAACUGGGCUUCCUUUUCUCAUGCACACUUUUAUCCCACUUGUAAAUCUUCAGAAUUAAAAUUUGCUUUGCAAAUACUCUACCUGCUGGCUGAGCAAUAAGCAGCACAGGUAAGAGUCAGCUGUGUUUCACACCAAACUACUCAACUAACAAAAAAACACCCCAAACCCCAGAAUUACACUUUUCUUUCAUAGUUUGACAGCAAUAAAA